RNAcentral lists this ribosomal RNA (329 nucleotides) under uncultured eukaryote. RNAcentral's name for it is "partial 18S ribosomal RNA". It matches the Rfam family "Eukaryotic small subunit ribosomal RNA", at positions 1470 to 1796 of the family's 1831-position model. The record is from RNAcentral.
CCCUUAGAUGUCCUGGGCCGCACGCGCGCUACACUGAGUGUCUGAGAUACGAGUCUGCCUGGUACGGCAAGGUCUAGGUAAUCGCUAAAAGACACAUCAUGCUUGGGAUAGAUUAUUGCAAAUAUUAAUCUUGAACGAGGAAUUCCUAGUAAGCGCAAGUCAACAGCUUGCGUUGAUUACGUCCCUGCCCUUUGUACACACCGCCCGUCGCUACUACUGAUUGGAUGUUUAAGCGAGGUUCUCGAACUGCUAGCGACUUAGCUUCGGUGAGGUCGCAGUGUGGGAAGUGAACCUAGCUUUGGUGUCUAGAGGAAGUAAAAGUCGUAACA